GAUUAGAGUGUGCUAGCUUGCUAGAAUUUAGAUACAGGUGCUGCACGGCUGUCGUCAGCUCGUGUCGUGAGAUGUUGGGUUAAGUCCCGCAACGAGCGCAACCCUCGUGUUUAGUUGCUAACAGUUCGGCUGAGAACUCUAAACAGACUGCCUACGCAAGUAGGAGGAAGGUGAGGACGACGUCAAGUCGUCAUGGCCCUUACGGCCAGGGCUACACACGUGCUACAAUGGGGUAUACAAAGAGCAGCGAUACGGUGACGUGGAGCAAAUCUAGAAAAUGCCUCUCAGUUCGGAUUGUAGUCUGCAACUCGACUACAUGAAGUUGGAAUCGCUAGUAAUCGUAGAUCAGCAAUGCUACGGUGAAUACGUUCCCGGGUCUU
RNAcentral lists this ribosomal RNA (380 nucleotides) under uncultured Arcobacter sp. RNAcentral's name for it is "bacterial SSU rRNA". It matches the Rfam family "Bacterial small subunit ribosomal RNA", at positions 1003 to 1382 of the family's 1533-position model. Lineage: Bacteria; Pseudomonadati; Campylobacterota; Epsilonproteobacteria; Campylobacterales; Arcobacteraceae. The record is from RNAcentral.